Molecule: unclassified non-coding RNA, 187 nt
Filed under: uncultured Agaricomycetes
Lineage: Eukaryota; Fungi; Basidiomycota; Agaricomycetes
Description: sequence contains ITS2
Source: RNAcentral
CAAGUGCACUCAACCACACGGCUUCACCGCCGUGUGGCUUGGAGGUUGGGGGCUGCUGGCGUCACCGUCGGCUCUCCUGAAAGACAUCAGCGAAGGACUCGGCGUCCUCUCGGCGUGAUAACGAUCGUCGUCGGCGCCCAUGUGUCGCUUCGCUUCGCUUCGAACGUCCCGCGUUGGAUGACUGACG